This 623-nucleotide ribosomal RNA is filed under the name uncultured archaeon. Its description in RNAcentral is "bacterial SSU rRNA". It matches the Rfam family "Archaeal small subunit ribosomal RNA", at positions 339 to 999 of the family's 1478-position model. The record is from RNAcentral.
GCGCGAAAACUUUGCAAUGCGCGAAAGCUCGACAAGGUUAAUCUGAGUGGUUCACUGAUGAAUAAGGGGUGGGCAAGUCUGGUGUCAGCCGCCGCGGUAAAACCAGCACCUCAAGUGGUCAGGAUGAUUAUUGGGCCUAAAGCAUCCGUAGCCUGUUCUGUAAGUUUUCGGUUAAAUCUAUUCGCUCAACGUAUAGGCUGCCGAAAAUACUGCAGAACUAGGGAGUGGGAGAGGUAGACGGUACUCGGUAGGAAGGGGUAAAAUCCUUUGAUCUAUUGAUGACCACCUGUGGCGAAGGCGGUCUACCAGAACACGUUCGACGGUGAGGGAUGAAAGCUGGGGGAGCAAACCGGAUUAGAUACCCGGGUAGUCCCAGCUGUAAACGAUGCAAACUCGAUGAUGCGUUGGCUUAUUGCUAGCGCAGUGUCGCAGGGAAGCCGUUAAGUUUGCCGCCUGGGAAGUACGUACGCAAGUAUGAAACUUAAAGGAAUUGGCGGGGGAGCACACAAGGGGUGAAGCUGCGGUUCAAUUGGAGUCAACGCCUGAAACCUUACCCGGAGAGACAGCAGAAUGAAGGUCAAGCUGAAGACUUUACCAGACAAGCUGAGAAGUAGUGCAUGGCC